GACGAACGCUGGCGGCGUGCUUAACACAUGCAAGUCGAACGGAAAGGCCCUGCUUUUGUUGGGUGCUCGAGUGGCGAACGGGUGAGUAACACGUGAGUAACCUGCCCUUGACUUUGGGAUAACUUCAGGAAACUGGGGCUCAUACCGGAUAGGAGCUCCUGCUGCAUGGUGGGGGUUGGAAAGUUUCGGCGGUUGGGGAUGGACUCGCGGCUUAUCAGCUUGUUGGUGGGGUAGUGGCUUACCAAGGCUUUGACGGGUAGCCGGCCUGAGAGGGUGACCGGCCACAUUGGGACUGAGAUACGGCCCAGACUCCUACGGGAGGCAGCAGUGGGUAGUAUUGCAGAAUGGGCGGAAGCCUGAUGCAGCAACGCCGCGUGCGGGAUGACGGGCUUCGGGUUGUAAACCGCUUUCGCCGGAGACGAAGCGUGAGUGACGGUAAUGGGUAAAGAAGCACCGGCUAACUACGUG
RNAcentral lists this ribosomal RNA (468 nucleotides) under uncultured bacterium. RNAcentral describes it as "partial 16S ribosomal RNA". It matches the Rfam family "Bacterial small subunit ribosomal RNA", at positions 28 to 507 of the family's 1533-position model. The record is from RNAcentral.